CCUACGGGAGGCUGCAGUAGGGAAUAUUGCUCAAUGGGGGAAACCCUGAAGCAGCCACGCCGCGUGGAGGAUGAAGGUUCUCGGAUUGUUAAAUCUUUUUGUUAGAGAAGAUAAUGACGGUAUCUAACGAAUAAGCACCGGCUAAAUCCGUGCCAGCAGCCGUGGUAAUACGGAGGGUGCAAGCGUUACUCGGAAUCACUGGGCGUAAAGAGCGCGUAGGCGGGAUAGCAAGUCAGAUGUGAAAUCCUAUGGCUUAACCAUAGAACUGCAUUUGAAACUGUUAUGCUAGAGUAUGGGAGAGGUAGGUGGAAUUCUUGGUGUAGGGGUAAAAUCCGUAGAGAUCAAGAGGAAUACUCAUUGCGAAGGCGACCUGCUAGAACAUAACUGACGCUGAUGCGCGAAAGCGUGGGGAGCGAACAGGAUUAGAUACCCCAGUAGUC
This 440-nucleotide ribosomal RNA is filed under the name uncultured bacterium. Its description in RNAcentral is "partial 16S ribosomal RNA". It matches the Rfam family "Bacterial small subunit ribosomal RNA", at positions 338 to 795 of the family's 1533-position model. The record is from RNAcentral.